This 507-nucleotide ribosomal RNA is filed under the name uncultured bacterium. RNAcentral's name for it is "partial 16S ribosomal RNA". It matches the Rfam family "Bacterial small subunit ribosomal RNA", at positions 28 to 507 of the family's 1533-position model. The record is from RNAcentral.
GACGAACGCUGGCGGCGUGCCUAAUACAUGCAAGUCGAACGCAUUUUCUUUCACCGUAGCUUGCUACACCGAAAGAAAAUGAGUGGCGAACGGGUGAGUAACACGUGUGUAACCUGCCCAUCAGCGGGGGAUAACACUUGGAAACAGGUGCUAAUACCGCAUAAUUCCAUUUACCGCAUGGUAGAUGGAUGAAAGGCGCUUUUGCGUCACUGAUGGAUGGACCCGCGGUGCAUUAGCUAGUUGGUGGGGUAACGGCCUACCAAGGCUGCGAUGCAUAGCCGACCUGAGAGGGUGAUCGGCCACACUGGGACUGAGACACGGCCCAGACUCCUACGGGAGGCAGCAGUAGGGAAUCUUCGGCAAUGGACACAAGUCUGACCGAGCAACGCCGCGUGAGUGAAGAAGGUUUUCGGAUCGUAAAACUCUGUUGUUAGAGAAGAACAAGGAUGAGAGUGGAAAGUUCAUCCCUUGACGGUAUCUAACCAGAAAGCCACGGCUAACUACGUG